GGCGGGAGCUGCAUGUUUACGUUUCCGGGCCCAAAGAACGAACAAACCACUAAUUACGAUCUAACUUUGUAUAAUUAUUGGAUUCUGUUAUCAUCUCUUGCUGCUCGCCACGCGUGUUUUUUGAGCGGACACAAAUAGGACUACCUACAUUAUGACAUCUGCCGACAUUAAACCAGUGGAGUUUUUACCUGGAGUCCCUGACUGGAGCACCGUGGACCAGCCAAUAGGAGAACUGUUUACUCCCAUCGAGGAUAAAUCUGCGUGGAGUGACUUCCUCCUGUCUGACCAACAGGUGGCGCAGUUCUGGAAAGAUGGCUUCCUGUCCAACAUACGACUGCUGUCUGAGGAACAGUGUGACAGGAUCAUAGCGGAUUACAAGUACUUCAUAGGAAGUGAUGAGAAGCAUCCUGGGAUGGAAAUGAUGUAUGAAUACAGCAGCAACCAAUCUGGUGACCCUGACAACGUGUUGAUGCAUGGUCUGGGACAGUGGAGACUCACCAAGUUGUUCCACGAUCUGAUCUUUCUACCACAGGCUGUCGUUCCCGCGUCACAGCUGCUUGACGAGUCGCGGCAAGGGGUUCCGGUGAGACUGUGGCACGACCAGAUGUUUGCUAAACCCCCGAACCACGGCGGGGUGGUCGCCUGGCAUCAAGAUUAUUCUUACUGGACUCGUACAAAACCCAUGAUGCACUUGACAAUUCACAUUGCCUUAGACGAGCAGACCGCUGACAAUGGACCCCUCCUGUACAUCCCUGGCUCUCACAGAUGGAAUCGAAAUGACAGUUCUGACCGAGGAAGAGAAAGCCCAGUUCAAACCCAUCAGCUCGGACUUGAAGAAAGGCUGUGCAAGCUUCCACCACCCACUGUCUGUCCACGGUUCCUAUGGCAACAGGUCAGACCGACCCAGACGUGCGACCGUGUUGAAUUAUUUUGCUGAUGGUGUUCUGUCCAACACUGAUGAUGAGCAGCUGAAAGGUAUCACCAUUCCAAAGGGUGAGAAGAUGUGUGGACAGUUCUUUCCAUUGGUCUAUGACCCAAGCUGGAGGGAAUAACUUUAACAUUAAGCUGGGGGAAAUAAAUUUAAUAUUGUCCUGGAGGGAAUACAUUUAACAUUGUGCUGGAGAGAAUGGGGGUUGCGGGGGUGGGGGGGGGGGGAGUUUGGGGGAGGUUGGUCAGGGAAAUUGUGCCACAGAAAAAAGAAAAAAAAAAAGUGCCUUAUUUUCAUACUCUCCUCUCCGCCAUCCAGAUGCAAAACCAAUUUAAAUUCUGUUUUAAGUGUUGUUUUUGAUGGGCCAGUUAUAAUUAUGAACAUUUUCAUCACAAUAUAAAUGUGCUCUAUUUUGAAACUCCCUCUCACUUCCUGGCAAGAUUUUGUUUUAAAAGCAUAUGGUGGCAUUAACAACUCACCCCGCCCCACCAACUUUCCGCCAAAAUACAAUUUGAUGUUACAUAAUAAAAAUAGAACAUACCACAAGUGGCUUUACUGUAUGGCUCUAAGUUUGAAAUGUUUUGUAAUUUCCCCUGGUAUUUCAAGCAGUGUGAAAGGGGCGGGACGUAGCCCAGUGGUACAGCACUCACCUGAUGCAUGGUCGAUCUAGAAUCGAUUACCGUCGGUUUCUCGUUCCAGUCCACUAUGACUUGUAUAUCAAAGACCAUGGUAUGUACUAUCCUGUCUUUGGGAUGUGCUAUCCUUUCUUUGGGAUGGUGGGAUGGUACAAAUGGAAAACUAUAUCAGGUUUUUUUCUUCUCUAAAACAAUAUGUCAGAAUUACCAAAUGGUUGACAUUCAAUAGCCAAUGAUUAAUAAAUCAAUGUGCUCUAGUGGUGUCGUUAAACAAAACAAAACCAGUUUUAUAUUAAUACAUAUUGACACAGCAUAAACAGCAUUUCUUUACAAUAAUAAAUCCAAAAAGUACAAUGUGACAAAGGCUAUAUAGAUGUAUCCAUUAACUGCUCAGACUUUAGGGGAAGUACCAUAUUUGCUCGGAAAUAAGACCAGGGGGCCAAGACAACUCAUUGUGAGCUUAGCAUGGGGUGGGCUUAUUCCCAGGAAAGGGGCCAGUUUUUUAAUUUAAAUAAUAAUAAUAAUAAGUAAUUUUUAUCUCAUGAAAAUGUUCAUAAUUAUGAAUCAUCCCAAUGGCAAAGAUAUGUAGGAAAACAAAACAAAACAAAAAAGUCCACUCCUUGAAUGAUGGCCGUUUCAUUAAAUUUAGAAAUCACUGUUAUAUAUCAAAGUUUCUAGUUUGCUUUAGCCCGUUCGAUGCAUGGUGUAGGCUCUGAAACAACUUGAGAAACAUAAUGGUAUUUGAUGGCCAUUUAUUGAGAAUUCUUAAUUAAUUAAUUUCAUUCAUCCAACCUGAUACCAUUGUUAUGCAUAGUAUGUAUUUGUUAAAACAUUGUCCAUCCAUCUGCCAGCUUUUCUUGUCCGGUGAAUAUCUUUGAUACUGUAUUUUGCAGCAUUUAUUAAAUUAGGGAAAAAAAGAGAAAUAUGUGAAAUAUUUCACUUGAAGUUCAUAGAAUUAUACUUUUAAAUUAAAAUACUGAUAUUUUAAAAAUUGUUUACCUUUCUUUUCUAAAUGAGAACUGGCUUACAAAUUUAAGAUUUGGCACGAGCGUAGGAAGGUGUCAGAAAGUGGGGUGGGGGCACACACUCACAGAUAUAUAUACAAAUUUGGGUAUGGCGCCAUACCCGUUUUACCCUCCGACAGAAACCAUGAUAUAUAUAUAUAUAUAUAUAUAUAUAUAUAUAUAUAUAUAUUAUUUAACGUUAACUGGCCCUAACAGAAACAUAAUGGUUAGUUUCAGAAUUAUACUAUAUGGAAUGGGGGAAAUUUGCACAUUGUACCUCAGUGUUUAAGUUGUGGGUUUUUAGUGGUUUCUCAUUUUGAUGCAAUAUUUGUUGUGAUUUUUGCACUCUUGUUAUAUGCAAAAUUUUAACUUGUUAUUAAAUGCAUAAUUGUUGCUGGUAAUAUAUUUUAAAUAUUACUCUAGGCGCUUUGUUACAUAUGAAUUUACGUAAUUACAAUAUCAACUGCCAUUAUAUUAAUAAUAAAACAAAAUGAUUUUCAA
Molecule: unclassified non-coding RNA, 3068 nt
Filed under: Gigantopelta aegis
Lineage: Eukaryota; Metazoa; Mollusca; Gastropoda; Neomphalida; Peltospiridae
Description: phytanoyl-CoA dioxygenase, peroxisomal-like, transcript variant X2
Source: RNAcentral